UACGAAGGGGGCUAGCGUUGUUCGGAAUUACUGGGCGUAAAGCGCGCGCAGGCGGUUCUUCAAGUCAGAGGUGAAAGCCCAGAGCUCAACUCUGGAAUGGCCUUUGAGACUAGAGAACUAGGGUACGGGAGAGGUGAGUGGAAUUCCGAGUGUAGAGGUGAAAUUCGUAGAUAUGGGGAGGAACACCGGUGGCGAAGGCGGCCACCUGGACGGUAACUGACGCUGAGACGCGAAAGCGUGGGGAGCAAACAGG
Molecule: ribosomal RNA, 253 nt
Filed under: uncultured bacterium
Lineage: Bacteria
Description: partial 16S ribosomal RNA
Rfam family: Bacterial small subunit ribosomal RNA
Source: RNAcentral